GAGUUUGAUCGUGGCUCAGAACGAACGCUGGCGGCAUGCCUAACACAUGCAAGUCGAACGCUCGUAGCAAUACGAGAGUGGCGGACGGGUGAGAAACGCGUGGGUACCUGCCCUGUAGUACGGAAUAACCGCGGGAAACUGCGGCUAAUACCGUAUACGCCCCAAGGGGAAAGAUUUAUCGCUAUAGGAGGGGCCCGCGUCGGAUUAGCUAGUUGGUGAGGUAACGGCCCACCAAGGCGAUGAUCCGUAGCUGGUCUGAGAGGACGACCAGCCACACUGGGACUGAGACACGGCCCAGACUCCUACGGGAGGCAGCAGUGGGGAAUAUUGGACAAUGGGGGAAACCCUGAUCCAGCAAUGCCGCGUGAGUGAAGAAGGCCUUAGGGUUGUAAAGCUCUUUCAGCGGGGAAGAUGAUGACGGUACCGCAGAAGAAGCCCCGGCUAACUCCGUGCCAGCCGCCGCGGUAAC
RNAcentral lists this ribosomal RNA (469 nucleotides) under uncultured Alphaproteobacteria bacterium. RNAcentral describes it as "bacterial SSU rRNA". It matches the Rfam family "Bacterial small subunit ribosomal RNA", at positions 9 to 524 of the family's 1533-position model. The record is from RNAcentral. Lineage: Bacteria; Pseudomonadati; Pseudomonadota; Alphaproteobacteria.